AUGAACACCUGGGGUACAACUCACCAAGUCCACAACCUCGGUUCCCGCCUUCGAAAUCUGAAGGAGAGAAGCAAGGUAGCCGCCCUCCCACCCUACAAAGGGUACGUGCAUGGAGAACAGACGCUUAUGUCUCUGUCGCCCGUGGUGCUUGGCACGAUGCGUAUUAAAGUCAAUGGAGCCACCAUCCUGCAGUUUUUCUGGUGCUUCAGAACAACAAAACCGUGCGUGCAUCCCUUCUCUUCCCAGCCCGAGUCAGAGGCAGAGAUGUCGUUCACCGAGCUAAUUCCUGUAGGUCACGUCACUGAGACCUGGCUACACCCACAUGGGUGAGGGGGAGACACACGUCUGCGCUGCCCAGGGCCCUCGGCAGGCCACCAACAAACAUAACUCGGGUAAGAGAUGCAGGUGGCAAGAGGCUGUCCUGUGUCUCGGGCUCUGUAAGGAGCCGGCUUGAGGGACAGCUUGAGCUUGGCGCCCUCCCGACAGAGACGGUCAGCAGGGACCACUCGCACGAAGCAUGGUGUGAGCUGGUGGCGCAGACGCCAGCUGGGGCGUCUGGGGAAACGAAUGCUGGUUUGGUUCGGUCACAAACUCACUCUUGGGGAGUCCUUCACCUGUGAGGGUCUCCGUUUUCUCAGCUGUGCAUGGGAGUAAUAAGCCCCGUCUCCCCUCCUUCCUGAGUACUGUCGGCGUAAAGCCAGGGCCCGGACUUUGGCUUCUGAAAUCGCAGGACAGAGAGCUUUCCUCGGCCCUCCCAGGCCCUGUUCCUGAGCGCUCUGUAGCCCCUUCACUUCCUUUCUUUGCUUGGUCUUCUCGGCUGUCCGUCCGUCCGUCCGUGCAGUGGCGUCUGUACCCGACCCCAUGCACCUGCCGGCCCCGGCUGGCUGCCGCGCCCGGACGAGGUGGCUCUGCUCACUUUCCCCGGAGAGCUCGUACCCACGCUCGCCCCGACAGGUGGGGAGCGGGGGGAGGCGGGACUACACACUCUGUGUCUGGUACCCUUUGAUUAAUAUUAGAUGUGCAGCGGCUUUGUUGGUAGUUGUUUGUACGUUAAUAAUUUUUAUGUAUUCCUAGUGUAUUGACCCUUUUUAUUAUGAACUGACCCCCUUUACUCUAGCAAUAUGUCUCAUCCUUGAGUGUGUUUUCUGUGGUAUUGUCACUCCAGUUCCUUCACAAUUACUGUUUGCAGAGAAUAUCUUUUUUCAUCCUUUUAUGCCCAAGCUAUUUGCAUCCUUGAAUCUAAAGUGUUUUUCUUGCUGGCAACAUAUAAUUGGAUUUUGUUUUUCAUCAAGUUUGAGAUUCUGUGUCUUUUGAUUAAAGUGUAUAGAACGUUCACAUUGUCAAAAGUUCAUAAAUAACACAAGUAAAACCAAUGAAUUAGUAACUGGUAGGGGUUUAUUGUGCGCGCACCAAAAAGACAGACUGCAAAGCAGGACAGUCUGUAAAGCAGCGGCCCUGAAACCCACCUCGGGCAGGUGCCCGGCGCGGUGCUGACUCGGUGAGAAGGAGUGGCUGUGUAUUCUCCGCGGUGACUGGUUACAAUAUUAGAAUUUUCUUAAAUGAUAGGGAAUUGGUUAGUGAUGACCUCAUAUCAACCUUGGGAACCACCGCAAGUUUGGCUUAUGAUUUUCGGGGGCAGAAGCAAGAAAUGGCCCAGGUCAGGUUAGUCUUGCAAAAUAAGCUAAGUGAAGCUUUGCUUGUAUGACUAAGGCGCUUUCUGUCUGCUCAGGGAAUUUUCAAGGUUGGUUUCCCGUCUGCUUUUGAUUUGAACACCAUCUACUGUCAUUACCCACACGGUUGGUUCCGCAUCUCGUCUUGCUGUUGGUCGCCUGCAGUUCUGCCCUGUGUUUGUUCCUCUGCAAUUUGUAUCCAGUUUUUUAUGCUGUGAUUUUUCUUCCUCUGUUCAUGUUUAGGUAUAUUUUAAGCAACUUUAGUGAAGUAAAAUUAACAUACAAUUAACUGCUAAUGUUUAAAGUUUUGUAACUGGAUAAAUUUUGAGCUGGGUAACCGUGGGUAUCAUGGUACCCAGCCGGGCCCUGUCACCCCACUCACGCUACCUGUCCCCCACCUGUCCCCACGCUACCUGUCCCCCACCUGUCCCCUCCCUGUCGCCCCACCCAUGCUACCUGUUCCCACUCUACCUGUCCCCCACCUGUCCCCGCCCUGUCGCCCCACCCACCCCAUCUGUCCUUGCCUCGCCCAGCAGUACAAAGCCAGUGGCAUUAUUACUGUCAACAGGUAUUCAUUUGUAUAACCUAGAAUUCUGUAUAAAUGGAAGCCAACAGUAUGUGCUUAUUUCAUCUGACUUCACUCGGCAUGACUGUUUUUUUAAAUAAUAAACAAACAAACAAAC
Molecule: long non-coding RNA, 2353 nt
Filed under: Ursus maritimus (polar bear)
Lineage: Eukaryota; Metazoa; Chordata; Mammalia; Carnivora; Ursidae
Description: lncRNA (ENSUMAG00000016004.1)
Source: RNAcentral